GUGAAGUUGAAAUCAUCCCUUCGUUAAUUUUACGGACGCCAUCACGAGUUGGUUGACCGUUAUGGAAUAACCGUUUCACAAAUGAUAUCGGAUAUGUUCCUUACGUCGUAACUACAAUCCCCUUCGCUUUCAUGAAUGUGACCUACCGAAUUAGACUAUUUACCGGAUUUGUAAUCAAAUAAGCAACACGACGGGUGCCACAUGUGGAGCAGGAUCUGCUUACCCUUCCGGAGCACCUGAGAUCACCCCUAGUUUUUAAUGGGGUUCGUGUUGUUUAUUCUUUAGUUUUCUAUGUUGUGUCAUGUGUACUAUUGUUUUUCUGUUUGUCUUUUUCAUUUUUAGCCAUGGCGUUGUCAGUUUGUUUUAGAUUUAUGAGUUUGACUGUCCCUUUGGUAUCUUUCGUCCCUCUUUUU
RNAcentral lists this long non-coding RNA (413 nucleotides) under Mytilus galloprovincialis (Mediterranean mussel). Lineage: Eukaryota; Metazoa; Mollusca; Bivalvia; Mytilida; Mytilidae. The record is from RNAcentral.